GAAGAAAAGGAAAGCUAGGCUUACUAUCAUUUCAGAUUAAAGAAACGUGUCUUAUUCUUUUCCUUCAGAAUUUCGAAGCCCUUAUUUUUCAUGAGGCUACUUAAAGAGAAAAAUCCAUCUUGCUGCCUCACCAGCUCUGCUCUGUUUUGCUUAUGGGCUCUGACAAGAUCACAGCUUGAGGAAUAUUUUCCCAAAUCAAGGCACAACAUGCUAUACUGGCUGUAGCGUGCAUAAGUACACCUGAUUGGGGUAGAGGAUGUUCCUGCAUACUUCAGCUCCUGGCAUUUUGCUGCACACUCAAACUGUCACAGAUUAUAUUUUCAAGGACAGCUAAUCACACUGCACUUAAACAAACAACAGUGUUCAGCUACGGAGUGUUGGAACAUCCAAGGUUAUGAGAAGAACAACAUAACACUUUAAAGGAGCAUAGUAAUCACUUUGUAAAUUCAAGUUCACUGCCAACUGUAAGAGUACCCAAAGUCAGGGAGCUUAAAACUUAGAGAUAUUGGCAUUUUU
Molecule: long non-coding RNA, 516 nt
Organism: Oxyura jamaicensis (ruddy duck)
Lineage: Eukaryota; Metazoa; Chordata; Aves; Anseriformes; Anatidae
Exons: 3
Source: RefSeq, a predicted model, not a curated record